This 465-nucleotide ribosomal RNA is filed under the name Vreelandella stevensii. Its description in RNAcentral is "partial 16S ribosomal RNA". It matches the Rfam family "Bacterial small subunit ribosomal RNA", at positions 338 to 795 of the family's 1533-position model. The record is from RNAcentral. Lineage: Bacteria; Pseudomonadati; Pseudomonadota; Gammaproteobacteria; Oceanospirillales; Halomonadaceae.
CCUACGGGUGGCAGCAGUGGGGAAUAUUGGACAAUGGGCGAAAGCCUGAUCCAGCCAUGCCGCGUGUGUGAAGAAGGCCUUCGGGUUGUAAAGCACUUUCAGUGGGGAAGAAAGCCUUGGGGCUAAUACCCUCGAGGAAGGACAUCACCCACAGAAGAAGCACCGGCUAACUCCGUGCCAGCAGCCGCGGUAAUACGGAGGGUGCGAGCGUUAAUCGGAAUUACUGGGCGUAAAGCGCGCGUAGGCGGUCUGAUAAGCCGGUUGUGAAAGCCCUGGGCUCAACCUGGGAACGGCAUCCGGAACUGUCAGGCUAGAGUGCAGGAGAGGAAGGUAGAAUUCCCGGUGUAGCGGUGAAAUGCGUAGAGAUCGGGAGGAAUACCAGUGGCGAAGGCGGCCUUCUGGACUGACACUGACGCUGAGGUGCGAAAGCGUGGGUAGCAAACAGGAUUAGAUACCCCGGUAGUC